GCAGUCGAACGAUGAUGCCAGCUUGCUGGUGGAUUAGUGGCGAACGGGUGAGUAACACGUGAGUAACCUGCCCUUAACUCUGGGAUAAGCCUGGGAAACUGGGUCUAAUACCGGAUAUGACCUUCCAUCGCAUGGUGGUUGGUGGAAAGCUUUUUGUGGUUUUGGAUGGACUCGCGGCCUAUCAGCUUGUUGGUGAGGUAAUGGCUUACCAAGGCGACGACGGGUAGCCGGCCUGAGAGGGUGACCGGCCACACUGGGACUGAGACACGGCCCAGACUCCUACGGGAGGCAGCAGUGGGGAAUAUUGCACAAUGGGCGCAAGCCUGAUGCAGCGACGCCGCGUGAGGGAUGACGGCCUUCGGGUUGUAAACCUCUUUCAGUAGGGAAGAAGCGAAAGUGACGGUACCUGCAGAAGAAGCGCCGGCUAACUACGUGCCAGCAGCCGCGGUAAUACGUAGGGCGCAAGCGUUAUCCGGAAUUAUUGGGCGUAAAGAGCUCGUAGGCGGUUUGUCGCGUCUGCCGUGAAAGUCCGGGGCUCAACUCCGGAUCUGCGGUGGGUACGGGCAGACUAGAGUGAUGUAGGGGAGACUGGAAUUCCUGGUGUAGCGGUGAAAUGCGCAGAUAUCAGGAGGAACACCGAUGGCGAAGGCAGGUCUCUGGGCAUUAACUGACGCUGAGGAGCGAAAGCAUGGGGAGCGAACAGGAUUAGAUACCCUGGUAGUCCAUGCCGUAAAACGUUGGGCACUAGGUGUGGGGGACAUUCCACGUUUUCCGCGCCGUAGCUAACGCAUU
RNAcentral lists this ribosomal RNA (792 nucleotides) under Pseudarthrobacter sp. Its description in RNAcentral is "bacterial SSU rRNA". It matches the Rfam family "Bacterial small subunit ribosomal RNA", at positions 57 to 861 of the family's 1533-position model. The record is from RNAcentral. Lineage: Bacteria; Bacillati; Actinomycetota; Actinomycetes; Micrococcales; Micrococcaceae.